Micropterus dolomieu (smallmouth bass) is the source of this 188-nucleotide long non-coding RNA. RefSeq lists it as uncharacterized. Lineage: Eukaryota; Metazoa; Chordata; Actinopteri; Centrarchiformes; Centrarchidae. The transcript has 2 exons. The record is from RefSeq and is a predicted model, not a curated record.
UCAGAUGCAGAGUCAGCAGCCGGUGCUUCUGGUUCCUCUUCCUGUGCAGCAGCAGAUCUCAGCGCUCCUCUGGACGGACGGGAGGACGGAGACCAGCGGCAGUCUGAGCGGGAGGAGGGACGACCUGUGACUCAGUCACAUCGUUAACCUUUUAAUGAAUGUUACACAAAAUAAAUCCCGUAAAACGA